AACAUUUUGAUUUGUCCUAUGGGGGCUGCGCUUCUUUGUCUUGCUUUAGUAACCAGUGUGGCGUUGAUGACAGGGGAAAAAUGGUGGCAGGGCAUGUGUGGUUUCUGGUCCUGGGAUCUGUGCUUAUAUGCAAUCUCGUCAAAACACUCUUACCAGCUAUAUCUUCAUUCCUGUCCAAGGUCUUUCAAAAGGAUGCCGAGCACGAGAUGGAAAUGAGGUUAGAGAUCCAAGGCAUGAAGCAGGAACUUGCCUCCAUAAGUAUGAUGGAUGAGUUUGCCAGGUAUGCACGACUGGAGCGCAGGAUCAACAAGAUGACUGACAAGUUGAAGACCCAUGUGAAGUCCAGAACAGCUCAGCAGGCCAAAAUUAAAUGGGUGGUGAAUAUAGUGUAUUAUGUCCUCCAGGCUGCACUGAUGAUCUCUCUGAUUUGGAAAUAUUAUGCUGACCCAGUGACAGUCCUGCCCAGUAAGUGGAUUGCCCCUCUAGAGCGAUUGGUCGCAUUCCCAUCUGGAGUGGCAGGCAAGUACAGGUAUUGGAACAUGUGACUGGUGGCGGACUGAGGACACCUCCAACUCCUCCCACCUCCUCCUACUCUCAAUCGUCAUCUCUAAGCAAUUAAACUGUAAUGCUUGUGGGAGGGGAGGGGAUGUCAUCAAAAUCACACUUUGAUGACGUCAAUAACGUUAAAUGACAAAGGUGGUGUGGGAAUUACAACCUGGCUUGUGGUUUGCAACAAGGUAGUGGCGAUCAUUCUGCAGGCUGUGGGCUGAAGAAACUGCAUUUUAUCCUUGUCUCAAUAAAACAAAGCCUAGAUGAAUUGGUUUUGUGAAAAUUAAUUCCUGUAUAUGUUUAAUCCCCUUUAUGUAUUGUUGCCAUUCAAUUACUGUUGUUCAGUUUGUCUUUACAGUUUGUAAAAAAAGAAAGAAAUAUUGAUAAUAAUCUCAGCUAUAUUCAUUGGAACAUUGGCAUUGACCAGAAUAUUUCCUUUUAAGUAAACUGCUGAAAUUAGAUUUAAAAAACUCAAAAAAUGGAAGGAGAAAUGAGUUGUUAUAUGUUGGGGGAAGUGAUUUUGGUGUAUUUAUUUUGUAUAAUUCUCCUAAUUUAUUUUGUAUAACCUCUCAAUGAAAAAAGAAUGUACUAUAUACGUAUAUUAGAGAAUCAAGUCAAAAUAUAAGAAUACUUUUGACUGUUCAAAUAAAUUAUCAGAAAUCAGUCAUGUAAGAUAUUAGAAUUUGACAAUGCCUAACUUUACUGCACAAUGUCUUAUGAUUGCUUUGGGAACUUCCACAAAAUAUGUCUUGUGAUCAAUAUAAAUAAACAUGAUUAUUUUCUUCUUGUUAA
RNA transcript from Conger conger (European conger), 1341 nucleotides. It is a transcript of the gene named guided entry of tail-anchored proteins factor 1, with no coding region annotated. The record is from RefSeq and is a predicted model, not a curated record. NCBI's taxonomy places the organism in Eukaryota, Metazoa, Chordata, Actinopteri, Anguilliformes, Congridae. The transcript is spliced from 6 exons.